This 501-nucleotide ribosomal RNA is filed under the name uncultured bacterium. Its description in RNAcentral is "bacterial SSU rRNA". It matches the Rfam family "Bacterial small subunit ribosomal RNA", at positions 25 to 518 of the family's 1533-position model. The record is from RNAcentral.
CAGAACGAACGCUGGCGGCGUGUCUUAAGCAUGCAAGUCGUGCGGCAAGGCGGGGCAACUCGCCCUAGAGCGGCGGACUGGUGAGUAACGCGUGGGUGAUCUGCCCUUGGGUUGGGGAUAGCCACUAGAAAUAGUGGGUAAUACCGAAUACGUCGCAGGGUUGCGGCCUGUGAGGAAAGGCGCUUCGGCGCCACCCGAGGAUGAGCCCGCGUCCCAUUAGCUAGUUGGUGAGGUAACGGCCCACCAAGGCGAUGAUGGGUAGGCGGCCUGAGAGGGUGUACGCCCACACUGGGACUGAGAUACGGCCCAGACUCCUACGGGAGGCAGCAGCUAAGAAUAUUCCGCAAUGGACGAAAGUCUGACGGAGCGACGCCGCGUGGAUGAUGAAGGCCGAAAGGUUGUAAAGUCCUUUUGCUGGGGAAGAAUAAGCCUGGGAGGGAAUGCCCGGGUGAUGACAUGAACCGGCGAAUAAGCCCCGGCUAACUACGUGCCAGCCGCCGC